RNAcentral lists this long non-coding RNA (252 nucleotides) under Lathyrus oleraceus (garden pea). Its description in RNAcentral is "Pisum sativum (pea) long non-coding RNA (PSAT_LNC034252)". Lineage: Eukaryota; Viridiplantae; Streptophyta; Magnoliopsida; Fabales; Fabaceae. The record is from RNAcentral.
ACCCACAACUCACAUAAAUCACCCUGCUAUGCGUAUAACCGACAUGUAAUGCGGCUAAUAUUCAACUAUACACAAACCAUUUCGAGUCCAAUUUAAUACACCCAAUAUCAAGCUCAAUUACAUUAAAAACCCACAACUCACAUAAAUCACCCUGCUAUGCGUAUAACCGACAUGUAAUGCGGCUAAUAUUCAACUAUACACAAACCAUUUCGAGUCCAAUUUAAUACACCCAAUAUCAAGCUCAAUUACAUU